AAAGAGAGAGGAGAGAGAGAGAGAGAGAGAGAGAGAGAGAGAGAAAGACCCAUGCCAUGGGUUUCAGACUUAUCAGCCCCCACAAUCACAUGAGCCAAUUCCUUAAAGUAAAUCAAUCAAUCCCCCCAUCUCUCUCUCUCUCUCUCUCUCUCUCUCUCUCUCUCUCUCUCUCUCUCUCU
RNAcentral lists this microRNA precursor (179 nucleotides) under Marmota monax (woodchuck). The record is from RNAcentral. Lineage: Eukaryota; Metazoa; Chordata; Mammalia; Rodentia; Sciuridae.